Cydia strobilella is the source of this 410-nucleotide long non-coding RNA. RefSeq lists it as uncharacterized. The record is from RefSeq and is a predicted model, not a curated record. Lineage: Eukaryota; Metazoa; Arthropoda; Insecta; Lepidoptera; Tortricidae. The transcript has 3 exons.
CUGAAAAUGAAUAUUUCUUUUGGUGCUUUGAAAUUGUUUCUUGGUGUGACUCUUUUAAUAAACUUAAAAUGUUUUGUAUUUUGCUUGCUGUAUUAUUUCCUAUAGGACUUAGGUUAUGUAAGUAUAAUGAUUCUUUAUUCAUUGGGUAGUGAUUUAGUAACUUUUCUAAGCCCACAUUUCGUUCAGUUUCCAAGUUGUUUUCUGUAUAUUUUUCUACAGGACUUAGGUUAUGUAAGUAUAUUGAUUCUUUAUUCAUCGGGUAGUGAUUUAGUAACUUUUCUAAGCCCACAUUUCGUUCAGUUUCCAAGUUGUUUGCUUAUAAUGAUUCUUUAUUCAUCGGGUAGGUAUUUAGCAAGUUUUCUAAGGCCACAUUUCGUUCAGUUUUCAAGUUGUUUGCUGUAUAUUUUUCU